UGGGGAAUAUUGCGCAAUGGGCGAAAGCCUGACGCAGCGACGCCGCGUGGGGGAUGAAGGCCUUCGGGUUGUAAACCUCUUUCACCACCGACGAAGCUAACGUGACGGUAGGUGGGGAAGAAGCGCCGGCUAACUACGUGCCAGCAGCCGCGGUAAUACGUAGGGCGCAAGCGUUGUCCGGAAUUAUUGGGCGUAAAGAGCUCGUAGGCGGUCUGUCACGUCUGCCGUGAAAACCCGAGGCUUAACCUCGUGGCUUGCGGUGGAUACGGGCAGACUAGAGGUAGGUAGGGGAGAACGGAAUUCCCGGUGUAGCGGUGAAAUGCGCAGAUAUCGGGAGGAACACCGGUGGCGAAGGCGGUUCUCUGGGCCUUACCUGACGCUGAGGAGCGAAAGCAUGGGGAGCGAACA
RNAcentral lists this ribosomal RNA (408 nucleotides) under uncultured Actinoallomurus sp. RNAcentral's name for it is "bacterial SSU rRNA". It matches the Rfam family "Bacterial small subunit ribosomal RNA", at positions 355 to 774 of the family's 1533-position model. The record is from RNAcentral. Lineage: Bacteria; Bacillati; Actinomycetota; Actinomycetes; Streptosporangiales; Thermomonosporaceae.